CCUUUGGAAACGAAGAGUAAUACCGUAUACGCCCUACGGGGGAAAGAUUUAUCGGUAAAGGAUUGGCCCGCGUUAGAUUAGAUAGUUGGUGGGGUAACGGCCUACCAAGUCUACGAUCUAUAGCUGGUUUGAGAGGAUGAUCAGCAACACUGGGACUGAGACACGGCCCAGACUCCUACGGGAGGCAGCAGUGGGGAAUCUUAGACAAUGGGGGAAACCCUGAUCUAGCGAUGCCGCGUGUGUGACGAAGGCCUUAGGGUCGUAAAGCACUUUCGCCAGAGAUGAUAAUGACAGUAUCUGGUAAAGAAACCCCGGCUAACUCCGUGCCAGCAGCCGCGGUAAUACGGAGGGGGUUAGCGUUGUUCGGAAUUACUGGGCGUAAAGCGUACGUAGGCGGAUUAGUAAGUUAGAGGUGAAAUCCCAGGGCUCAACCCUGGAACUGCCUUUAAUACUGCUAGUCUAGAGUUCGAGAGAGGUGAGUGGAAUUCCAAGUGUAGAGGUGAAAUUCGUAGAUAUUUGGAGGAACACCAGUGGCGAAGGCGGCUCACUGGCUCGAUACUGACGCUGAGGUACGAAAGUGUGGGGAGCAAACAGGAUUAGAUACCCUGGUAGUCCACACCGUAAACGAUGAAUGCCAGUCGUCGGGUAGUAUACUAUUCGGUGACACACCUAACGGAGUAAGCAUUCC
This 688-nucleotide ribosomal RNA is filed under the name Nereida sp. MED625. RNAcentral's name for it is "bacterial SSU rRNA". It matches the Rfam family "Bacterial small subunit ribosomal RNA", at positions 147 to 870 of the family's 1533-position model. Lineage: Bacteria; Pseudomonadati; Pseudomonadota; Alphaproteobacteria; Rhodobacterales; Roseobacteraceae. The record is from RNAcentral.